GGGAACUGAAACAUCUAAGUACCCUGAGGAAAAGAAAUCAAUUGAGACUCCCCUAGUAGCGGCGAGCGAACGGGGAAGAGCCUAAACCAUAUCAGUGUAAGGGUCUGGCCGUUGCUGAUAUGGUGUCGUGGGACGAUUCUAGCGGUCCAGUUAGCCGCAAGAGAGUUACAAAGCAGAGCGCUAGCAGAACGGCUUGGAAAGGCCGGCCAGAGAGGGUGACAGCCCCGUAAGCGAAAGCGUAUCUGUCUCUCGAGUAUGUUCCCGAGUAUCGCAGGGCACGUGAAACCCGGCGAGAAUCUGGGAGGACCAUCUUCCAAGGCUAAGUACUACCUGCCGACCGAUAGUGAACUAGUACCGUGAGGGAAAGGUGAAAA
This 374-nucleotide ribosomal RNA is filed under the name Strombidium inclinatum. Its description in RNAcentral is "partial Bacterial large subunit ribosomal RNA". It matches the Rfam family "Bacterial large subunit ribosomal RNA", at positions 188 to 520 of the family's 2925-position model. The record is from RNAcentral. Lineage: Eukaryota; Ciliophora; Spirotrichea; Strombidiidae.